Long non-coding RNA from Oncorhynchus keta (chum salmon), 2737 nucleotides. RefSeq lists it as uncharacterized. The record is from RefSeq and is a predicted model, not a curated record. The transcript is spliced from 3 exons. Lineage: Eukaryota; Metazoa; Chordata; Actinopteri; Salmoniformes; Salmonidae.
GUGUGUGUGUGUGUGUGUGUGUGUGUGUGUGUGUGUGUGUGUGUGUGUGUGUGUGUGUGUGUGUGUGUGUGUGUGUGUGUGUGUGUGUGUGUGUGUGUGUCUACUUCCUCCUACGCAGCCUGAAGGACAUGCUGGAACCAUGCCAGGGUGUAUCUACAGUACCUUCAGAAUGUAUUCAUACCGCUUGACUUUUUUCCUACAUUUUGUUGUGUUACAGCCUGAAUUUCAAAUGGAUUAAAUAGAGAAUAUUUGUCACUGGCCUGCACAUAAUACCCCAUCAUGACAUCACAAUACCCCAUUGUGACAUCACACUACCCCAUUAUGACAUCACAAUACCCUGUUGUGACAUCACAAUAAACCAUUGUGACAUCACAAUACCCUGUAGUGACAUCACAAUACACCAUUGUGACAUCACAAUACCCCCUCAUGUCAAAGUGGAAUUAUGUUUUUAGAGAUUUUAUCAAAUGAAUUAAGAAUGAAAAGCUGAAAAAUAUCAAAAUAGUAUUCAGCACCUUUAUUAUGUCAAGCCUAAAUAUGUAUAAAUGUGCUUAACAAGUCACAUAAUAAGUUGCAUGGACUCACUGUGUGAAAUAAUUGUGUUUAACAUGAUUAUUGAAUUACUACCUCGUCUCUGUACCCCACACAUACAAUUAUCUGUAAGGUCCCUCAUCUCUGUACCCCACACAUACAAUUAUCUGUAAGGUCCCUCAUCUCUGUACCCCACACAUACAAUUAUCUGUAAGGUCCCUCAUCUCUGUACCCCACACAUACAAUUAUCUGUAAGGUCCCUCAUCUCUGUACCCCACACAUACUGUAAGGUCCCUCAUCUCUGUACCCCACACAUACUGUAAGGUCCCUCAUCUCUGUACCCCACACAUACUGUAAGGUCCCUCAUCUCUGUACCCCACACAUACUGUAAGGUCCCUCAUCUCUGUACCCCACACAUACUGUAAGGUCCCUCAUCUCUGUACCCCACACAUACUGUAAGGUCCCUCAUCUCUGUACCCCACACAUACAAUUAUCUGUAAGGUCCCUCAUCUCUGUACCCCACACAUACAAUUAUCUGUAAGGUCCCUCAUCUCUGUACCCCACACAUACAAUUAUCUGUAAGGUCCCUCAUCUCUGUACCCCACACAUACAAUUAUCUGUAAGGUCCCUCAUCUCUGUACCCCACACAUACAAUUAUCUGUAAGGUCCCUCAUCUCUGUACCCCACACAUACUGUAAGGUCCCUCAUCUCUGUACCCCACACAUACAAUUAUCUGUAAGGUUCUUCAGACGAGAAGUGAAUUUCAAACACAGAUUCAACCACAAAGACCAGGGUGGUUUUCCAAUGCUUCGCAAAUGGCACCUAUUGGCAGAUGGAUAAAAAAUUAAAUAAUUAAAUAACAGACAUUGAAUAUCCCUCUGAGCAUGGAACAGUUAUUCAUUACAUAUUGGAUGGUGUCACUACAGAGAUACAGGAGUCCGGAGAGGAAGGAAACCGCUCAGGGAUUUCACCAUGAGGUCAAUGGUGACUUUGAAGUUGAAUGGCUGAGAAAGGAGGAAACUGAGGAUGGAUUAACAACAUUGUAGUUACUCCACAAUAACAACCUAAUUGACAGAGUGAACAGAAGGAAUCUUGUACAGAAUAUAAAAUAUUCUAAAUCAUACAUCCUGUUUGCAACCAGGCACUAAAGUAAUAAGAUGUGGCAAAUCCAAUACAACACAUCUCUGAGGACCACUCUCCAUAUUGUCAAGCAUAAUGGUAGCUGCAUCAUGUUAGGGGUAUGCAUCAUGUUAUGCUUGUAAUCGUUAAGGACUGGGGAAUUUUUCAGGAUAAAAAAAAAUAAACAGAAUGGAGUUAAGCACAGGAAAAAUCCUAGAGGAAAACAUAGUUCAGUCUGCUCCCCACCAGACACUGGGAGAUGAAUUUAUCUUUCAGCAGGACAAUAACCUAAAACACAAGGACACAUCUACACUGGAGUUACUUACCAAGAAGACAGUGAAUGUUCCUGAGUGGCAGAGUUACAGUUUAGACUGAAAUAUGACCUGAAAAUGGUUGACCUGAAAACCAAUGUGACAGCUUGAAGAAUUUUGUAAAGAAUAAAUGGCCAAAUAUUACAGAAUCCAGGUGUGGAAAGCUCUUAGAGAAUUACCCAGAAUGACUCACAGCUCUUAGAGAAUUACCCAGAAUGACUCACAGCUCUUAGAGAAUUACCCAGAAUGACUCACAGCUCUUAGAGAAUUACCCAGAAUGACUCACAGCUCUUAGAGAAUUACCCAGAAUGACUCACAGCUCUUAGAGAAUUACCCAGAAUGACUCACAGCUCUUAGAGAAUUACCCAGAAUGACUCACAGCUCUUAGAGACUUACCCAGAAUGACUCACAGCUGUAAUCACUGCCAAAGGUGAUUCUAUAAAGUAUUGACUCAGGGGUGUGAAUACUUAUGUAAAUUAGAUAUUUCUGUAUUUCAAUUUCAAUACAGUUGUAAACAUUUCUAAAAACAUGUUUUGAGUUUGUCAUUAUAAGGGACUGUGUGUAGACGGGAGAGAGAAACAAUCUAUUUCAUCCAUUUUGAAUACUUUCUGAAGGCACUGUAAUUACCUUGAUGGAAAAACAAACACCUCUCGAAUCGGCCAAACAUGACACACACACACAGACACCCACACACAGACACAGACACCCACACACAGACACCCACACACAGACACAGACACCCACACACAGACACCCACAUACAGACACAGACACCCACA